This 229-nucleotide long non-coding RNA is filed under the name Lathyrus oleraceus (garden pea). Its description in RNAcentral is "Pisum sativum (pea) long non-coding RNA (PSAT_LNC025456)". Lineage: Eukaryota; Viridiplantae; Streptophyta; Magnoliopsida; Fabales; Fabaceae. The record is from RNAcentral.
UUGAUCCGUAGGAUUCUCCCAGCUUCGCUUUCUUCGCUUGCUUUUCCUUCUCAGAUGGUCCUCGUGGUCGCUUCAUGAAUUUGGGAGGAUGAUCUGGCAGCUGGCUUAAGUUGAAGUCUGAGAACUCUACUCCUUGUUUUCGCAGAUCAUCUAAGUAAUACAAGAUUACCUCUGGAGGGUCGAUCUUUGAGAACAGAUAGAGUCCAUUUGGGAUCUUCCUCUGAUCUUU